UUGGAGGGCAAGUCUGGUGCCAGCAGCCGCGGUAAUUCCAGCUCCAAUAGCGUAUAUUAAAGUUGUUGCAGUUAAAAAGCUCGUAGUUGAAUUUCGGGAUCAACUUACUGGUCGUGCCUAUGGUACGCACUGGUUUUGUUGGUUUCUCCUUUCUGACGAAUCAUGAUGUCAUUAAUUUGAUGUCCUGAGGAAUCAGGACUGUUACUUUGAAAAAAUUAGAGUGUUUAAAGCAGGC
This 235-nucleotide ribosomal RNA is filed under the name uncultured Glomus. RNAcentral's name for it is "partial 18S ribosomal RNA". It matches the Rfam family "Eukaryotic small subunit ribosomal RNA", at positions 548 to 785 of the family's 1831-position model. The record is from RNAcentral. Lineage: Eukaryota; Fungi; Glomeromycota; Glomeromycetes; Glomerales; Glomeraceae.